Long non-coding RNA from Carassius auratus (goldfish), 94 nucleotides. RefSeq lists it as uncharacterized. The transcript is spliced from 2 exons. The record is from RefSeq and is a predicted model, not a curated record. NCBI's taxonomy places the organism in Eukaryota, Metazoa, Chordata, Actinopteri, Cypriniformes, Cyprinidae.
GAUCUUCUCAUCAGCUCUAUUACUGCUGGUGGCAGCUGCAUCAUGUGGUGUUUUCUGUGUUGAGCUCACUCAACCUUCAUCUAUGGUUGUGAAA